UACGGAGGGGGCUAGCGUUGUUCGGAAUUACUGGGCGUAAAGCGCGCGUAGGCGGCUUUGUAAGUUAGAGGUGAAAGCCCGGAGCUCAACUCCGGAAAUGCCAUUGAAACUGUUAAACUUGAGGAUGAGAGAGGUGAGUGGAAUUCCCAGUGUAGAGGUGAAAUUCGUAGAUAUUGGGAAGAACACCGGUGGCGAAGGCGGCUCACUGGCUCAUUACUGACGCUCAUGCACGAAAGCGUGGGGAGCAAACAGG
RNAcentral lists this ribosomal RNA (253 nucleotides) under uncultured bacterium. RNAcentral's name for it is "partial 16S ribosomal RNA". It matches the Rfam family "Bacterial small subunit ribosomal RNA", at positions 524 to 776 of the family's 1533-position model. The record is from RNAcentral.